AAUGUCAAUCACAGUCACCCCAAAUUCAAGAAACUAAGGGCAAGGUUUACAAAUGAAACCUAAGGCACCAACUUCAUCAACAGUUGAAGAAGAGCCACCGCCAGAUAAUGUCGAAAAGAAAGGGAAGUGCACGCACCAUCAUUUUUCCUUGCCCCUUCGAGCGAAAUCAUGGCCUGAAAAUAAAGUCAAGAUGACGGUCUCAAGAUGCUUGGAGUUACAACAUACUCCUCAAGCUCUGAUGGUUCUAUGAUUUCUUCAGGCAUUUUUGUCCAUCGCACAUUGACUGACUACCAUGCAGCUGGGGGUUGGUGGUUCACACAUCUGAUUUUUUCCAUGUGUUUUCUUAUGCACAUACCGGAAAAACUAUAUGCAUGCUACAUCGUGAAGGAAACCUUGAUCAUAAAGUUUUAUUUUGAUAGCAUGUACUUCGGUUCAUCUUCUUUUUUUGCAUGAUUGUCCUGUGAGCAAAAAAUUAUGUUUCUAUCAUGGGAUUUUUUUACAUAUAAUAUGUAUUCUACAAGCGAAACUAUUUAUAUCUUGCAUGGGCAGAAGUUACUUCGCAGCAGAUGUAGUGAUUCUGUUGUCACGCUUCUUUA
Molecule: long non-coding RNA, 596 nt
Organism: Lolium perenne
Lineage: Eukaryota; Viridiplantae; Streptophyta; Magnoliopsida; Poales; Poaceae
Source: RefSeq, a predicted model, not a curated record